Molecule: long non-coding RNA, 609 nt
Filed under: Salmo salar (Atlantic salmon)
Lineage: Eukaryota; Metazoa; Chordata; Actinopteri; Salmoniformes; Salmonidae
Description: lncRNA (ENSSSAG00000111018.1)
Source: RNAcentral
CCCUUUUCAGCUAAAGUAGUCUUAUUGAAAAGAAGAUCUCACACACUACCCCAGUGAUAAUAAUAAGUGAUACUGGCAAGCUCAGUGUUCUGUAGAACAUGUUCAGCUGCUGGCUCCGUUUGUGGCCAUCAAGAACAAGGAAGUAAACCUAAUAGCAGUGGUCUGGCCCAUCCACUCCAGGACUCUUACCUACUUCUGGUGACUGGGGAACUGCACUGAGCCGGUGAUCAGCUUAGACGGGAGAAUCUCAUACACCUUCACCAGCGAGGGAAUGAACACUGUUACGGUCCAAGUGUCUUCAGCCAACACCAUACUGCAAGACACCAAGACGAUAGCAGUCCCAGAUGCUUCAGCGUUCGCCCUCGGGCUGUCCUGUGAUCGGCUCGUGCUGUCCUGUGUCGGGCUGUCCUCGUUAUCACACAGGUGCGAGCGACUCGGGUUAUUCUUCCCCACGCGAGGCAGCUUGAUGAGCUCGAAUGUCACGUCCUGACCCUUGUAAGAUGUCAUUUUCUAUAGUAGAAUAGGUCAGGGCAUGACAGGGGGUGUUUUUGGGUGGUUUUCUAUGUUUUCUAUUUCUAUGUUUAAUUCUGGGUUUCUAUUUCUACGUUG